GCCAGUGUGGUGUAAUGGUUUGAAUGUUGGACUACGACUCUGGAGACCAGGGUUCAUAUCCCCACUCAGCCA
RNAcentral lists this transfer RNA (72 nucleotides) under Phrynosoma platyrhinos (Desert horned lizard). RNAcentral's name for it is "tRNA-OTHER". Lineage: Eukaryota; Metazoa; Chordata; Lepidosauria; Squamata; Phrynosomatidae. The record is from RNAcentral.